Molecule: transfer RNA, 54 nt
Filed under: Diploscapter coronatus
Lineage: Eukaryota; Metazoa; Nematoda; Chromadorea; Rhabditida; Rhabditidae
Description: tRNA-Ser
Source: RNAcentral
AAUGGAUUAUUUAGGUCUUCUAAACCCAAAAAAGAUAUAUUUAUCUGUUCAUUU